RNAcentral lists this ribosomal RNA (493 nucleotides) under uncultured bacterium. Its description in RNAcentral is "partial 16S ribosomal RNA". It matches the Rfam family "Bacterial small subunit ribosomal RNA", at positions 29 to 507 of the family's 1533-position model. The record is from RNAcentral.
ACGAACGCUGGCGGCGUGCUUCACACCUGCCAGUCGAACGGUGAAGCGCCUUCCUUUUUGGUGGGUGUGGAUGAGUGGCGAACGGGUGAGUAACACGUGAGUAACCUGCCCCCUUCUUCUGGAUAACCGCAUGAAAGUGUGGCUAAUACGGGAUAUUCUGGGUCUGUCGCAUGAUGGGUCUGGGAAAGAUAUUGUUUCGGUGGGGGAUGGGCUCGCGGCCUAUCAGCUUGUUGGUGGGGUGAUGGCCUACCAAGGCGGUGACGGGUAGCCGGCCUGAGAGGGUGGACGGUCACACUGGGACUGAGACACGGCCCAGACUCCUACGGGAGGCAGCAGUGGGGAAUAUUGCACAAUGGGCGCAAGCCUGAUGCAGCGACGCCGCGUGAGGGAUGGAGGCCUUCGGGUUGUGAACCUCUUUCGCCAGUGAAGCAGGCCUGCCUCGUUUGUGGGUGGGUUGACGGUAGCUGGAGAAGAAGCGCCGGCUAACUACGUG